UACGGAGGGGGCUAGCGUUGUUCGGAAUUACUGGGCGUAAAGCGCACGUAGGCGGCUUUGUAAGUUAGAGGUGAAAACCCAGGGCUUAACCCUGGAAUUGCCUUUAAGACUGCAUCGCUAGAAUCGUGGAGAGGUGAGUGGAAUUCCGAGUGUAGAGUUGAAAUUCGUAGAUAUUCGGAAGAACACCAGUGGCGAAGGCGACUCACUGGACACGUAUUGACGCUGAGGUGCGAAAGCGUGGGGAGCAAACAGG
RNAcentral lists this ribosomal RNA (253 nucleotides) under uncultured bacterium. Its description in RNAcentral is "partial 16S ribosomal RNA". It matches the Rfam family "Bacterial small subunit ribosomal RNA", at positions 524 to 776 of the family's 1533-position model. The record is from RNAcentral.